RNAcentral lists this transfer RNA (70 nucleotides) under Ictidomys tridecemlineatus (thirteen-lined ground squirrel). RNAcentral's name for it is "Spermophilus tridecemlineatus (thirteen-lined ground squirrel) tRNA". It matches the Rfam family "tRNA". From Rfam's summary of the family: Transfer RNA (tRNA) molecules are approximately 80 nucleotides in length. Their secondary structure includes four short double-helical elements and three loops (D, anti-codon, and T loops). The record is from Rfam by way of RNAcentral. Lineage: Eukaryota; Metazoa; Chordata; Mammalia; Rodentia; Sciuridae.
GGGGAUGUGGCUCAGUGGUAGAGCGCUCACCUAGCAUGUCUGAGGCACUGGGUUUGAUUCUCAGGCCCCA